UUUCCGUAGGUGAACCUGCGGAAGGAUCAUUCAUAAUAAGUGUUUUAUGGCACUUUUUAAAUCCAUAUCCACCUUGUGUGCAAUGUCAGGGUUGAUUUUUCUCUCGAGAGGAUCAACCCCAAACAUCAACUAUAUCUCAACUCUUUGUCUGAAAAAUAUUAUGAAUAAAACAAUUCAAAAUACAACUUUCAACAACGGAUCUCUUGGCUCUC
RNAcentral lists this unclassified non-coding RNA (212 nucleotides) under plant metagenome. RNAcentral's name for it is "partial contains small subunit ribosomal RNA, internal transcribed spacer 1, and 5.8S ribosomal RNA". The record is from RNAcentral.